This 109-nucleotide transfer RNA is filed under the name Emericellopsis atlantica. Its description in RNAcentral is "Emericellopsis sp. TS7 tRNA-Pro". It matches the Rfam family "tRNA". From Rfam's summary of the family: Transfer RNA (tRNA) molecules are approximately 80 nucleotides in length. Their secondary structure includes four short double-helical elements and three loops (D, anti-codon, and T loops). Lineage: Eukaryota; Fungi; Ascomycota; Sordariomycetes; Hypocreales; Bionectriaceae. The record is from RNAcentral.
GGUCUGGUGGUCUAGUGGUAUGAUUCGCGCUUAGGGAGUUCUUCUGAACUGUCAAACCCUGAGUUUCAAAGCUUGCGCGAGGUCCCGGGUUCAAUCCCCGGCCAGACCC